RNAcentral lists this transfer RNA (72 nucleotides) under Candidatus Woesearchaeota archaeon. Its description in RNAcentral is "tRNA-Arg". It matches the Rfam family "tRNA". From Rfam's summary of the family: Transfer RNA (tRNA) molecules are approximately 80 nucleotides in length. Their secondary structure includes four short double-helical elements and three loops (D, anti-codon, and T loops). Lineage: Archaea; Nanobdellati; Candidatus Woesearchaeota. The record is from RNAcentral.
GCCCUCAUAGGCUAACGGAUAGACUACGGGGUUCCGAACCCCGUGAUCGGGGUUCAAUUCCCCGUGGGGGCG